GACGAACCGUGCGAACGUUAUUCGGAAUCACUGGGCUUAAAGCGCGUGUAGGCGGGUCGCACGUCGGGAGCUGAAAUCCCCCGGCUCAACCGGGGAAGGGGCGCCGAUACGACCGGCCUGGAGGGACGUAGGGGGGGCUGGAACUUCCGGUGGAGCGGUGAAAUGCGUUGAGAUCGGAAGGAACGCCCGUGGCGAAAGCGAGCCCCUGGACGUCUACUGACGCUGAGACGGCGAAAAGCCAGAGGAGCGAACGGG
Molecule: ribosomal RNA, 255 nt
Filed under: uncultured bacterium
Lineage: Bacteria
Description: partial 16S ribosomal RNA
Rfam family: Bacterial small subunit ribosomal RNA
Source: RNAcentral